GACGAACGCUGGCGGCGUGCUUAACACAUGCAAGUCGAACGGAAAGGCCCUGCUUUUGUGGGGUGCUUGAGUGGCGAACGGGUGAGUAGCACGUGAGUAACCUGCCCUUGACUUUGGGAUAACUUCAGGAAACUGGGGCUAAUACCGGAUAGGAGCUCCUGCUGCAUGGUGGGGGUUGGAAAGUUUCGGCGGUUGGGGAUGGACUCGCGGCUUAUCAGCUUGUUGGUGGGGUAGUGGCUUACCAAGGCUUUGACGGGUAGCCGGCCUGCGAGGGUGACCGGCCACAUUGGGACUGAGAUACGGCCCAGACUCCUACGGGAGGCAGCAGUGGGGAAUAUUGCACAAUGGGCGGAAGCCUGAUGCAGCAACGCCGCGUGCGGGAUGACGGCCUUCGGGUUGUAAACCGCUUUCGCCUGUGACGAAGCGUGAGUGACGGUAAUGGGUAAAGAAGCACCGGCUAACUACGUG
This 468-nucleotide ribosomal RNA is filed under the name uncultured bacterium. RNAcentral's name for it is "partial 16S ribosomal RNA". It matches the Rfam family "Bacterial small subunit ribosomal RNA", at positions 28 to 507 of the family's 1533-position model. The record is from RNAcentral.